UACGUAGGGGCCGAGCGUUGUCCGGAGUUAUUGGGCGUAAAGCGCGCGCAGGCGGCCUCGCGCGCCCGACGUGAAAGCCCCCGGCUUAACCGGGGAGGGUCGUUGGGGACGGCGGGGCUUGAGGGCGGGAGAGGUCGGUGGAAUUCCCGGUGUAGUGGUGAAAUGCGUAGAGAUCGGGAGGAACACCUGUGGCGAAGGCGGCCGACUGGGCCGACCCUGACGCUGGGGCGCGAAGGCGUGGGGAGCGAACGGG
Molecule: ribosomal RNA, 253 nt
Filed under: uncultured bacterium
Lineage: Bacteria
Description: partial 16S ribosomal RNA
Rfam family: Bacterial small subunit ribosomal RNA
Source: RNAcentral